UUGAAAAAAUUGGAGAUCCUGAUGUUGGAUGGAAAUCCAGGAGUUUCGAUGAAGAGCAGCUGAAGACCCUCUACAACUUGCAUUCUUUGUUUUUUAAUAUGACUAAAUUAAAGCAAAUUGGCCAAAUUUCAAAGUUAAAUGAACUAAUCGAUUGGCCCACCAAUUGUCCUAAUUCGUGUAAAUGUAGUUGCAUCUCAACCCUGUCAGACUAGAACAAUUGAUGUGAAUUGAACAAUCUUAAUUUAACAUCCAUUCUUGAUUGUUUACCACGGAGGACUCGCCAAUUAGAUCUAUCUGAAAGUGGGGUCCUAAAAAUUUCCGCGAAAAGCCUCUAAUUAUUCUCGGAUAAAAAAAACUAUUGUGAAAUGAACAGAACCCAUUAAGAUUUCUCAUCACCAGUGGUACAAUAUAGCUUCAUGGGGCACAGGCAAAUUUGAAUUAGAGGAUCCCAUGUGGUAGUGUUGAUUUCAGGCAUUUUACUUGGAGGGAAUUGUAAUAAUUUUGUUCGUAACUUUGGAUAAACAAAAACUGACAAAUUUCUUUGUAAGUGAAGGAAUAAUAAGUAAUUCUUUGUGCAUAGGCACUUAUUCAUUUAUGACAACUCUGAUACAGCCAAAGAAUAGGUCUAGAGGUGGAACUGAAAUUUAGUUUCUUCAUUACUUAAAAUUAGUAGUCUUCAUUACCGUAGCUUCGCUCCCAGAGAAUUCAUUCGAAAUGAUAUCCUCGAUGCCAAGGAAUGCAGUUGCAGAGUGAUCAUAAUCUUGUCCAGGAAUUUCUUGAAGAGCGAAUGGUGUAAACUAGAAUUUCGUGAUAUGCAUCAUCCACUUCUUCAGGAUAAAGUUAAACAGGUUAAUUGUAAUCAAAUAUGGAGAUCUUCCUCUUGUGGAAGAGUACAAUUGAGCCGUUGAGGUUCACUUAGAAUCCACUACUUAUUUACCGUGGGGCAAGAAGUAUUUUUGGCAGAAAUUAAGGUAUGCCGUAGCUAAGAAGAGAAUGCCCAGAAAUUCGGUGUUUUAUUUUAAAUUAUUUUAGUUAAUUAUAAUGAAGAUAUUAAUGUAAUUUUAAAACUAUAUUUGGACUUGUGUAGAUUCUUGAUCUUAUAUUAAUUUCAAAAAAUAAGAAUAGGAUACUAAGAAAUGAUAGAAUUAUGUGCAAAAAUAUAAUUUUAAAUACUAAAUUGUCAUUAUUUUUUGGUUGUGUUAGAAAAUUUGAAUUGUAAAGUGGCUUGCAAUAAUUGGAAGAAUGAUAUAGAAUUGAUUGUGACACAUAAUUCAGAUUCACUAUUAUACAAGUUAUCCCAGAAUAAUUUCUGUAGUUGUUGACACAGUACAUCACACUCUCCACAAGGUUAGAAGCAAGUUUGUCAAUACAGAACUGUAGUGGAAAUUAAACGCACCAACGCCGGGAGACUGCCCGUUGUCUUCACGAUGAAAUAAGAGUUCUUUACUCUCUCAUUAGAGGUAUUUAGUCGCAGAAGUUAUUUAAAAACACCCUGUACAUUCAUAAAAAAAUAAGAAAUCUUUAUCAUGGUUGUACAGACCAAUAGCUAAGUUAAGACUGUAGGGUAGUGGUUAUUAUGGUAUAUAACAAUCAGUAAUUUAAAAUGUAUUAAUAGUUUAAGUCAAUCAAAUUUUUUCCAGCAUAUACUAUUUUCUGUUUUUAGUUUAUUCAACAAGCAAUGGUUGGUUUUAGGUGUUCUCUAAUAAUUUGUUUCUUAUUAAUGUUAUGUAUAAAUAUUCAGUUUGUGUUUAAUGUCCAAUAGUUUUACAAUCCAAGUGUUCCAGAUAUAUUUUGAUUAAUGAUUGUAUUUAUCAUUAUUAAUUAAAGUCAAAUAUUCAUUACAAAAACCAUUUGAUCUAUAUAGACAAUACUUGGUGUUUUACAGGGUUAAUGGGACAUUUCUAGGCUUAUGUCCCUA
This 1918-nucleotide long non-coding RNA is filed under the name Centruroides sculpturatus (bark scorpion). RNAcentral describes it as "uncharacterized LOC111639264". Lineage: Eukaryota; Metazoa; Arthropoda; Arachnida; Scorpiones; Buthidae. The record is from RNAcentral.